AUUGAACGCUGGCGGCAGGCCUAACACAUGCAAGUCGAGCGGCAGAAGGGUGAUAGCUCGUUGAUACAGGGGCGGAGGGGCGGGUGAUGGCGAGGUAUAUGCGUGGCUGUGGGGGAGUAGGGCAGGAAGUGGGCGCACAUACGCUAUAAGUGCAGAGGGAGUACGGGGGGGAUCUUGGGACCUUAGGACAUUAGAUGAGUCUAGGUCGGGUUAGCUAGUUGGUGGGGUAAAGGCCUACCAAGGCGACGAUCCGUAACUGGUCUGAGAGGAUGAUCAGUCACACUGGAACUGAGACACGGUCCAGACUCCUACGGGAGGCAGCAGUGGGGAAUAUUGGACAAUGGGCGAAAGCCUGAUCCAGCCAUGCCGCGUGUGUGAAGAAGGUCUUCGGAUUGUAAAGCACUUUAAUUUGGGAAGAAGAGCAGUAGGUUAAUACCUUGCUGUUUUGACGGUACCAAUAGAAUAAGCACCGGCUAACUUCGUG
This 484-nucleotide ribosomal RNA is filed under the name uncultured bacterium. RNAcentral describes it as "partial 16S ribosomal RNA". It matches the Rfam family "Bacterial small subunit ribosomal RNA", at positions 30 to 507 of the family's 1533-position model. The record is from RNAcentral.